RNAcentral lists this ribosomal RNA (443 nucleotides) under uncultured bacterium. Its description in RNAcentral is "partial 16S ribosomal RNA". It matches the Rfam family "Bacterial small subunit ribosomal RNA", at positions 338 to 795 of the family's 1533-position model. The record is from RNAcentral.
CCUACGGGUGGCAGCAGUGGGGGAUAUUGGUCAAUGGGGGAAACCCUGAACCAGCAACGCCGCGUGAGGGAAGAAGGCCUUCGGGUUGUAAACUUAAGUUAUCCGGGAUGAAACAAAUGACGGUACCUGAAAAGCAAGCUCCGGCUAACUACGUGCCAGCAGCCGCGGUAAUACGUAGGGAGCAAGCGUUGUCCGGAUUUACUGGGUGUAAAGGGUGCGUAGGCGGGAGCACAAGUCAGACGUGAAAUACCGGGGCUCAACCCCGGGGCUGCGUUUGAAACUGUGUUUCUUGAGUGAAGUAGAGGCAGGCGGAAUUCCGAGUGUAGCGGUGGAAUGCGUAGAUAUUCGGAGGAACACCAGUGGCGAAGGCGGCCUGCUGGGCUUUAACUGACGCUGAGGCACGAAAGCAUGGGGAGCAAACAGGAUUAGAUACCCGAGUAGUC